CUCUUUCUCGAUUCAGUGGAUGGUGGUGCAUGGCCGUUCUUAGUUGGUGGAGUGAUCUGUCUGGUUAAUUCCGAUAACGAACGAGACUCUCCCCUGCUAACUAGUCGGUUGGAUCUUGAUCAGUGGGUUGAGUGCCGAGUAACUCUCGCUGUGCGUGUUGUGCGUCGCGUUCCUCACGGUUCGUUGCGUGCUCAUGUGUGGCGUUGGAUGCCUUGGAUCACACUGCACCCCAAGUCCGCCGCUUUGCUAUAACUCUUCUUAGAGGGAUUCACGGCACUGAAGCCGUAAGAGACUGAGAGCAAUAACAGGUCUGUGAUGCCCUUAGAUGCUCUGGGCCGCACGCGCGCUACAAUGCCGGGCACAGCAGGUGUUUCUCCUGCUCCGACAGGAGCGGGUAACCCUCUGAAAGCCAGUGUUCUUGCAAGUGCUUCCUCCCUCGUGGAGUUGCACAGAGGCGUGCUUGGGCCUGGGACUUGCAAUUCUUUCCCACCAACGAGGAAUGCCUAGUAGCGGCGGGUCACUGAGCCCGCUGUGACUCAGUCCCUGCCCUUUGUACACACCGCCCGUCGCUACUACCGAUUGGGUGUACCAGUGAGAGCCUUGGACUGGCGUCCGUUGUUGCUCGCAAGAGU
This 632-nucleotide ribosomal RNA is filed under the name Eulimnogammarus testaceus. RNAcentral's name for it is "bacterial SSU rRNA". It matches the Rfam family "Eukaryotic small subunit ribosomal RNA", at positions 1255 to 1737 of the family's 1831-position model. The record is from RNAcentral. Lineage: Eukaryota; Metazoa; Arthropoda; Malacostraca; Amphipoda; Eulimnogammaridae.